Molecule: ribosomal RNA, 468 nt
Filed under: uncultured bacterium
Lineage: Bacteria
Description: partial 16S ribosomal RNA
Rfam family: Bacterial small subunit ribosomal RNA
Source: RNAcentral
GACGAGCGCUGGCGGCGUGCUUAACACAUGCAAGUCGAACGGAAAGGCCCUGCUUUUGUGGGGUGGUAGAGUGGCGAACGGGCGAGUAACACGUGAGUAACCUGACCUUGACUUUGGGGUAACUUCCGGAAAGUGGGGCUAAUACCGGAUAGGAGCUCCUGUUGCAUGGUGGUGGUUGGAAAGUUUGGGCGGUUGUGGAAGGACCCGGGGCUUAUCCGUUUGUUGGUGGGGGUGGGGCUUACCAUAGCUUCGGCUGGUGGCCUGGCUGAGUGGGUGGCCGGGCACAUUGGGACUGGGGAACGGGCCAGAAUCCUACGGGGGGCAACAGGGGGGAAUAUUGCACAAUGGGCGGAAGCCUGAUGCAGCAACGCCGCGGGCGGGAUGACGGCCUUCGGGUUGUAGACCGCUUUCGCCUGUGACGAAGCGUGAGUGACGGUAAUGGGUAAAGAAGCACCGGCUAACUACGUG